Molecule: ribosomal RNA, 429 nt
Filed under: Pseudomonadota bacterium
Lineage: Bacteria; Pseudomonadati; Pseudomonadota
Description: Proteobacteria bacterium partial 16S ribosomal RNA
Rfam family: Bacterial small subunit ribosomal RNA
Source: RNAcentral
UGGGGAAUAUUGGACAAUGGGCGAAAGCCUGAUCCAGCCAUGCCGCGUGUGUGAAGAAGGUCUUCGGAUUGUAAAGCACUUUAAGUUGGGAGGAAGGGCAGUAAGCGAAUACCUUGCUGUUUUGACGUUACCGACAGAAUAAGCACCGGCUAACUCUGUGCCAGCAGCUGCGGAAAUACUGAGGGUGCAAGCGUUAAUCGGAAUUACUGGGCGUAAAGCACACGUAGGUGGUUCGUUAAGUUGAAUGUGAAAGCCCCGGGCUCAACCUGGGAAGUGCAUCCACAACUGGCGAGCUAGAGGAGGACAGAGGGUGGUGGAAUUUCCUGUGUAGCGGUGAAAUGCGUAGUUAUAGGUAGGAACACCAGUGGCGAAGGCGACCACCUGGGCUCAUACUGACACUGAGGUGCGAAAGCGUGGGGAGUAAACAGG